CAGCACGUCAAAGUGGUGAUGAUGUGUUGUGCUGUGGAUAAGCUCAUAUCAAAACCAGCUUUGAUGCGCUGUG
Non-coding RNA from Ascaris suum (pig roundworm), 73 nucleotides. The record is from Rfam. NCBI's taxonomy places the organism in Eukaryota, Metazoa, Nematoda, Chromadorea, Rhabditida, Ascarididae.